RNAcentral lists this ribosomal RNA (273 nucleotides) under uncultured Acidovorax sp. Its description in RNAcentral is "partial 16S ribosomal RNA". It matches the Rfam family "Bacterial small subunit ribosomal RNA", at positions 524 to 796 of the family's 1533-position model. Lineage: Bacteria; Pseudomonadati; Pseudomonadota; Betaproteobacteria; Burkholderiales; Comamonadaceae. The record is from RNAcentral.
UACGUAGGGUGCAAGCGUUAAUCGGAAUUACUGGGCGUAAAGCGUGCGCAGGCGGUUAUAUAAGACAGAUGUGAAAUCCACGGGCUCAACCUGGGACCUGCAUUUGUGACUGUAUAGCUAGAGUACGGCAGAGGGGGAUGGAAUUCCGCGUGUAGCAGUGAAAUGCGUAGAUAUGCGGAGGAACACCGAUGGCGAAGGCAAUCCCCUGGGCCUGUACUGACGCUCAUGCACGAAAGCGUGGGGAGCAAACAGGAUUAGAAACCCUCGUAGUCC